CACAGAAUGUUUUGGGGAACCAAAUUUUACGCCGUGGUCUCAAAGCUUUUGAUCAUUGAUUUGAUAAAAGCUCUGGCCGAUUCGCCGGAUUCUACCUCCUCGAUUCUCGAAGAGACGCCUCAAGACAGAAAGAAAUUUUAGAAAAGCAUAAAAUUGUUCCGAAAGUGUUGGCAUAUAUGCCGAAGUAUGUUCUCUCUGGUAGCUUUGAUGGCAAAGAGAUGUCUUUCGGAAACAGCUUCACUCCAGAUGAAAUCAGGAAGCCUCCUAUUUUUUUACACCGAAAAAAAAGAAGAUGCUGUAGUAACAUCCCGGAUGUUACGGUUGUUAAAAAAUGUGCGACAACUCUUGGAUGUUACUAUUAACACUCUGGCAGUUAACGUAGCAUGAUAGGAUGUAAAGUAACAUCCUAGGAUGUUACUUGAACAGCCAGAGUGGUAAUGACAACAUCCAAGAGUUGUCGCACAUUUUUCUUACAUCCAGAUGUUACUACAGCACCUCUUUUUUUUUCGGUGUAGAUUGGCCGAUCAACGGAACAAAAGCGCUAUAUUGUUUACUUGCGAUAGGUAUAGAUGUUCCAAACAAGAAAAAACCAAAGUUGCGGGAUUUAGGCAUUGGUUUGUCGGUAACAUUCCCGGAACUGACAUAUCAAAAGGGCGAACGUAUCUCCCAUAUAUUGGUGCAGGCGAUUUUCUGGACCAAGGUUCGCAUCGGAUUGUAUUUGUAGUAUUUCAACAACCGGGUAGUAGAGAAUCAAAUUUUAUGAAAGAAAACUCACAAAGUGUAAGAUAUUUUGUUUUUUUGAAAGUUGAAUGUAAUCACAACGUCAUACUCACGAGAAACUAAGCCAGUCACGGUCGUUUUUGCUUCCAUAAAAUGAAUUUCAGAACCUAAAUGACACGCACAUUUGUCGGUCUGAGCACUAAUUGUGGUUUAACAUUUAGAGUUUAGAAAUUAGUUGAGAGUAGAAAGAUACCAGCACACCCAUAUUAAUGGAUGUAACUGACCAUUUAAAACUAUGAUUGAUCACAUCCACCAUUGUGGGAAUAAAGUCCAUUGUUUAAAUUCUGUACUGCACUGUUCUGAUCUCUCCUCUGAGGUGUUAAUGACACUGAUGUUAAACACCUUUAAAUAAACGUAUCUACCACCAACCAACCAUGGUUUCAUUCAUGCUGACGUAACGUUACCAUUACAAAAGUGGUGUAUUAGUGAUACAUGAAGCAUAUCGACGGUGGAAACUACCAAUCCACGUAUCUCGGUUUGCGACGUUGUUGACUUCCUGUCAUACUUUAUUUUUUUAAAUAGAAAACUAUUCAACGUCAAUUCAUGAAAACUUCCGUGAUUUUUCCUCUUUGUGUGGAGAAAAAUCUGUGAAAAUUGUAAGGAAUGAUAUUGAUUUGAUCUCCUUCAAAAAAAUAAAAUGGGAGUGGAGAUUUUCAAACACCGCAAACGAGAUACAAGGUCUGGUAGUUUUCCCGUCGAUAUGUAAGGAAACUAAGGUAUGCAAUUAGCCAUCACUGUUGUGGGUGACGUAUAUAUUUACGGGUUUAUAUUUUUUAAAGGGUGACCCCCUCAUUCACAUAUCACUUCAAUUUUUUACAAAUACUAUACUUUUCUGUUAAUUUUUAAAUUUAACUAACAAAUCAAAUGAGAAACAACACCCCUGACUUAUUUCCUGAGUAAAUUUGCUCUUUUUGUCAAAUCCGACGUAACUAACUUCUCUCCAUAAGGAUAGGAGGUACAAAAAAAUCGUCAUUUGCUUCUAAUUAUGCCUUCAUAUUAUCAAACAAAAAGAGAUCGUAUGAUUUUACACGUGACUGCAAAUAAGCGGAAAAGUUUUUAAAAGUCACUUUCCUCGUUUUUCCUACUGUUUCAUGUAACCAUUUUUAAUUUUCAGGGUGCCAAUAAAUAGGGCAGAGGGAACUCGUCAACACUGAAGUUGCCGAAAAUAUAGCUUGAGGGAGCCGUGGCAGCUAACUUCCUCACAGUUGAGACGGAUGUGCCUCAGUCAACGACUGACUACUACGCUCAUACUACGAUUGAAGUGCCCCCAGACUGGGAGGGCAUCAGCAUGAACCCGCAAAUGGUAGGCCUUACCAUCCCCUCCAUCCCGAGUGACGAGGAGUUCGAGAGGAACUGAAGCUGAGCAGGAGUGAAAGACGAAGAGGGAAGAAGUCGAAGAAGAAGGCGGAGGAAGAGAAAUCAGGACCUUACGCUGAUUAUUAUGAAGAUGAUGAUGAUGAAGAUGAUGAGGGGGAUGAAGAUCAAGUUAGAAAGAGGACGAUGAGUGACAAGAAAAAGACAAUAAAAAAAGUGAACAUGAAAAUAUACGGAGGAUAAAAAAGGAAACGGAAAUAAACGAUGAAAGGAAAAUGAAAAUAAAGAUAAGGAGAAAAAGGAAAAUGAAGAUGAAAAGAAAAAGGAAAAUAAAGAUAAAAGGAAGAAGGAAAAUAAAGAUAAAAAGGAAAAAAAAUAAAGAUAAAAAAACAGGAAAUAAAAGAAAAAGAAAAAGGAAAAUAAAGAUGAAAUUUAACAAUUUCUCAUUUGAUGGUUUUAUUCUAGCCCCGCAUUAUCAACGAUUGCCGUGAGAACGUACCUUUACGUCUGUUCAUUAUGACGUUUCACAAAAUGAGAACCGUCUUCUUUUCUCAUAUGAAUGGAAAUCCACAAAAAGUUUCUGGUCCAAAGGUCCUCAUAUUUUGAGCGUCCCAUGUCCCAUACGUACCUAUUCAUCGUAGGUACGCUUUUGAGUCCGUUUAUGUAGAACUAGCACUGAACCCGCACCACGUGGGGGACCAAUGGUAGCAAAUGCAUCCAAUGUAUCUAACCACAGUCCACGUGAUCUCUUCAUUUUAGUGACGUAUUACUGUGCUAUUUUGUGAUUGGUUCAUUUUCUUGGCGCAGCAUCGUUAAGCGUCGCUGUUUGCGGCUUUGGGCUGAAGGUUCAAGGUUCAGAUUCUACUCGCCUUAAUCAAAGACAUAAAGACGGAGUGCUAAAAGCAAAAAAUGAAGCCUCUUUUCAACCACCUCUACUAUUGGCUAGAGGAUUGCGGCAAAAUCGGGACAAGUUUGUGAAUUCAAAUGUAGGGCGGGAACUAAAUAAAUUGCGAAAAGAAGUAUUCUAGUUAUUUUUGCACAAAUUCACUUACCCACUCAUAUUUUUGUAACUUUAGGUUAGUUUUGGUCCGUCGUCGACCGAUUAAUUUAAUUUGGAAGUACGGUCAUCUAGGACUGUAACGACCUGUUUAAACCGGCAGGCCUCACCAUACGCAGAAGAAAAACUAACUUUAUUUGAAAUUACUGCCUGUUACGGAGAAAAGUAAGUGUAUUAUACUAGGUCGCAGUCCCAACUUUCUUAAUAUAUUCGUUUUAGGCAUUAAAUACGUUUAGAAGAAGAAAUGUGGAAAAAUCAAGAGGACAAGUUCAAAUCAAAUUUCCGUUUGCCGCCAUGGAUUCCCGCGCUCAUUUACACACUCACACAAGCACCCCUAGCCAAACCGGCUUCACUUUUUCCCUUUUCCGCUUUUAGAUACGAGCACUCCGUCGCUUUAUGUCUUUUGGCCUAAAUCCCUGAAAAUUUGAAAGCCGGAGCAUGGAUGUGCCAAAAAUCCCCUGAUGUCUACUGACAAUUAAAAAUAAUCUCUACAUUACUUGUCCUUAGAUACUGUAGAUUCCUAAACUGGAAUAGAAGCCAAAUAACCUGCAAAAAAAAAAAAAAAAAAAAAAAAAAAAAAAAAAGGUUUAAGGUUAAGCAUGGACAAGAGCAUACGGACCCCCCAACUCCAGUUAGCGGUACAUUAGCGCUGCUGGCAGAGGGUCUAUUGAACUAAACCGACGAUUGGGUCCUCCUUUCAUGUUUUCAUGCACCAAAUAUUUAGGCUUAUCACUCAGUGCUGAUGGGGAGGUUCUAGAUCUCGUAGUCGUCCUGAAGUUCCGAAGAGUUUGGUGGGAAAGUUUAUUUCCAUUUUUAUUUCAAUCUUCGUCAGUUCUUCGGGUGUAUAAACGGUCAAUAAUGUGCAUUGUUAAGAAGCGUCUCCAACGCUUUUGACGUUGAAUUGCCUUGUUUUCCUCAUUUAACGGUUCUACCCUGAUUCCAACGAUCAACUUACAACAAAUCCAAUAUGUUCACAAGAUAUUGCUAUGUAUGAAACAUAUGUCCUCAAGGAGCACAGUUUUAUCUCGCAUUAUGAGUUUUAAGAAAUCGUUUAUAUUGUUUUGAUUUCGUCGUGAAAAACGUCUUUGCACGACAAUGUCAUAUCGCGGAAAAGUUUGCAAAACCUCAAUGGGAUAUGCUAAAACUUCCUCGUUUUCUAUUUAAAGGUGUAUUCCUACCAGAAAUUAUUCACAAUUCCACACUCACGUUAUAGAAUUAUACGCACGAAUUAUGAUUUCCUCUUGAAAUUAGUGGUGAACGAGUCUAUUUAAUCAACGUACACGUUCUGAUGAAUCAUCUCCUGAAAAUUAAUGGAAGGUGUUUACUUGAAAUGUUUAAAAUAAAAACUAAAAACCCUAGCCCCCAAGCGAACUUUCAGUUUUGGAUCACCGAACAAUUGAAGCCUUAAGUGAAGUAGUUGAUCAAUUAUUAAUUUAAAACACCCAAAUACAUACAUACAUACAUAAGAAGUCGCUUCUCACAGCGCCUCCGCGCUUCUCCGGCGCUCUGCGACGCCUAAACCGCCACAAAACUCGGUCC
Molecule: long non-coding RNA, 4690 nt
Filed under: Bemisia tabaci
Lineage: Eukaryota; Metazoa; Arthropoda; Insecta; Hemiptera; Aleyrodidae
Description: lncRNA ENSSSA1UGG012378
Source: RNAcentral